RNAcentral lists this long non-coding RNA (300 nucleotides) under Brachypodium distachyon (stiff brome). RNAcentral describes it as "long non-coding RNA (BDIS_LNC005223)". The record is from RNAcentral. Lineage: Eukaryota; Viridiplantae; Streptophyta; Magnoliopsida; Poales; Poaceae.
GACUCGGGGAAUAUUGCCCGAAAGUGAUGUACCCCAAAGCGGCGUUGUACGUCCAAACACAUGGUCCCAUCUCAGCACUAAGCUGCUCCCACGCUCUAAUUGGUGGAAGCUGUGUCGGUACCGCUAGAAAGGACUUUCGCCGAUGUACCCCAGCUUUUGAAUUUCACGGGUGACUGAUCUGGACAAGUCCAUCAACUCUCAUUUAAAAAAAAUGUUGAUCAACUCUAAUAAAAACCGAUCGUUAAAAAAAAACAAAUCCAAAAGCAUCCAGCUUAGAGCAUGUUCAUGUAAAGUGCUUAG